RNAcentral lists this long non-coding RNA (268 nucleotides) under Musa acuminata (dwarf banana). RNAcentral's name for it is "long non-coding RNA (MACU_LNC010666)". Lineage: Eukaryota; Viridiplantae; Streptophyta; Magnoliopsida; Zingiberales; Musaceae. The record is from RNAcentral.
AUGGAACAUUUCGAAACAUAUCAACGAUGAAUGAAACAUUUCGGAGCAUAUAAAUAACAAAUGAAAUGUUUUGGAGCUUAUCAGUGGCGUAUGAAAUGUUCCGGAGCAUAUCAACGGCGUAUGGAAUAUUUCGGAGCAUAUCAAUAACAAAUACCAAACAGAAGCUCAAACGUCGUCUUUGACGUUGCAUUCAUAUCAUUCUUAUCCAAAGCAUGUACAGAAACACAUAACCAAAGCUCUGGAUAUCAUAUCAAACAUACAGAAGGUG